UGCAAUUUUUAACUCUUUGUCUUAUUUAAAAUUUUUUUUAUGAUUGAUAUUUUUAUUUUUAUUAGAUGAUAAAUCAUGAAUAAUAUUUUACGUGUGACUAUUUUUUUCUAAUUUUCUGAAUAUUUUUAAAUAAAACGGAUAGUCAAAUAUUGGACACGGAAA
This 162-nucleotide microRNA precursor is filed under the name Oryza brachyantha (malo sina). RNAcentral's name for it is "MIR812 microRNA precursor family". It matches the Rfam family "MIR812 microRNA precursor family", at positions 27 to 187 of the family's 205-position model. Lineage: Eukaryota; Viridiplantae; Streptophyta; Magnoliopsida; Poales; Poaceae. The record is from Rfam by way of RNAcentral.